UAGUCCACGCCCUAAACGAUGUAUGCUAGACGUCGGGAGACUUGUCUUUCGGUGUCGCCGCUAACGCAUUAAGCAUACCGCCUGGGGAGUACGGUCGCAAGAUUAAAACUCAAAGGAAUUGACGGGGGCCCGCACAAGCGGUGGAGCAUGUGGUUUAAUUCGAUAAUAAGCGGGGAACCUUACCGGGGCUUGACAUCUUCAGAACACUUUAGAAAUUUAGUGGUGCUCUUAGGAGAACUGAAUGACAGGUGCUGCAUGGUUGUCGUCAGCUCGUGCCUUGAGGUGUUCGGUUAAGUCCGUUAACGAGCGCAACCCUCGUCGUAUGUUGUUCAUUUCAUGCGAGACUGCCAGGUUCAACCUGGAGGAAGGUGAGGAUGACGUCAAAUCAGCAUGGCCCUUAUGUCCCGGGGCGACACAGGUGCUACAAUGGGGAAGUACAAUGCGCAGCCAAGCCGUAAGGUGGAGCCAAUCGCAAC
RNAcentral lists this ribosomal RNA (476 nucleotides) under uncultured bacterium. RNAcentral describes it as "bacterial SSU rRNA". It matches the Rfam family "Bacterial small subunit ribosomal RNA", at positions 791 to 1278 of the family's 1533-position model. The record is from RNAcentral.